UCCUGCAUACUCUGUUGGUGGAGUCU
Molecule: non-coding RNA, 26 nt
Filed under: Homo sapiens (human)
Lineage: Eukaryota; Metazoa; Chordata; Mammalia; Primates; Hominidae
Source: RNAcentral